GCCCCGUGAUGAGAACAAGGCAAAUACGAGCUGAUUGGCUGGGAUCUUGUGUUCUCUUGCUCUCUGACUGGUGGGUAAUCUUGGCAGAGCAGUGGAGAUUGGCUGCGCUGCUGUAAGGGCCCACCCAUAUUGAUGCUGGCUGUCAAGCAUAAUACAAUUCUCCUUUAGAAAUGGACAUUUGUGGAUGAUUUGGCAGCUUACAGUGUGUGUGUGUGUGUGUGUGUGUGUGUUUGAGUAUGUCCCGAGUGUGUGUGUGUGUGUAAAUGUGUCAGUCAGCAAAGAGUCACAUCUCCUAAAAUGGGCCCACCAGCUGUGAAUGUUUUCUUUGGUAAUCUGAGGGCA
This 342-nucleotide small nucleolar RNA is filed under the name Sinocyclocheilus rhinocerous. The record is from RNAcentral. Lineage: Eukaryota; Metazoa; Chordata; Actinopteri; Cypriniformes; Cyprinidae.